UCAAUGCUCGUAAGAGUGAACUACCUAACUGAAAUCUUAAAAUCAUUGUAACAAUGGUUCUUGAGAUAACGUAAGGGAUAAAAAUGAUAGUACCUUACUAUAAGUGUUGUCCAACAAUACUGGUGCCAGAAGACUCGGUAACGCCAGAAACGCAAACGUUAGUCGUCCUAAUCAGGCGUAAAGGGUAAGUAGGCUGCUUUGAAAGUUGUUAGAUAGAAAGCUUUUUAAAAAAAUAAUAAAAAUAAAAAUAUAAUAUAAAUAACCCAACUAAAGUUGGGAAAAUGAAAAUAAAAAUUUUUUAAAGUAAAUAAUAAUGAAUUAAAGCUAGAAUCAAAUAGGGGAUAAGCCAAAUAAUAUUUAGAGUAAGGGUAAUAUCUGUAGAUACUAAAUGGAAUACUAAGGUGAAAACUUUUAUCUACUAAUGAUUGACGCUGAGAAACGAAGGUGAGAAUAGAAAACAGGAUUAGAGACCCAGAUAUCUCUCACUGUCAACGAUGAAUGGUAGUUGUUAGUUCAACUUAACUA
RNAcentral lists this ribosomal RNA (525 nucleotides) under Lepiota cortinarius. Its description in RNAcentral is "partial small subunit ribosomal RNA". It matches the Rfam family "Bacterial small subunit ribosomal RNA", at positions 368 to 842 of the family's 1533-position model. Lineage: Eukaryota; Fungi; Basidiomycota; Agaricomycetes; Agaricales; Agaricaceae. The record is from RNAcentral.